RNAcentral lists this ribosomal RNA (619 nucleotides) under uncultured bacterium. Its description in RNAcentral is "bacterial SSU rRNA". It matches the Rfam family "Bacterial small subunit ribosomal RNA", at positions 100 to 707 of the family's 1533-position model. The record is from RNAcentral.
GAACGGGUGAGUAAUAUAUCGGAACGUACCCUGGAGUGGGGGAUAACGUAGCGAAAGUUACGCUAAUACCGCAUACGAUCUAAGGAUGAAAGUGGGGGAUCGCAAGACCUCAUGCUCCUGGAGCGGCCGAUAUCUGAUUAGCUAGUUGGUGGGGUAAAGGCCUACCAAGGCAUCGAUCAGUAGCUGGUCUGAGAGGACGACCAGCCACACUGGAACUGAGACACGGUCCAGACUCCUACGGGAGGCAGCAGUGGGGAAUUUUGGACAAUGGGCGCAAGCCUGAUCCAGCAAUGCCGCGUGAGUGAAGAAGGCCUUCGGGUUGUAAAGCUCUUUUGUCAGGGAAGAAACGGUAAUCUCUAAUAUAGAUUGCUAAUGACGGUACCUGAAGAAUAAGCACCGGCUAACUACGUGCCAGCAGCCGCGGUAAUACGUAGGGUGCAAGCGUUAAUCGGAAUUACUGGGCGUAAAGCGUGCGCAGGCGGUUAUGUAAGUCAGAUGUGAAAUCCCCGGGCUUAACCUGGGAAUGGCAUCUGAGACUGCAUGGCUAGAGUGUGUCCGAGGGGGGUAGAAAUUCCACGGUUGUAGCCAGGUGAAAAUGCGUAAGAGAUGUGGGAGGAAA